CCGUCCUUCAACGAGAUGCCCCGUAAAUCUACUGUAUGAUCAAUCAAAACACGUUUUGUCCAAAGUCCAAACUUAAUGGUGUGAUAUUGUGGCAUAUUUACCCUGGAGCUAGCAUAUAUAUGGAGCUGACUUUGUUCCUGGAGGAGCAGACACAGAGGAGGAAUCUGCUACCUCAAAGCAGUUGAUCGACACCGGGAGGGUGGGUACGUGAUGUCGGAGGCUGCCGGGAGGGUGGUGACGAGCUACCGAAGAGAUGAGUUCUGGCUCUCCUCGAUGCCAGGACGAGGCGCUGCUGCCGAUCGGACGUGGACUCGAUUGAUUUUGAUUUGAAAUAUGACGGGUUGUAAUGUAAAAUGCACUUCAGUUCAAAAUUUCCUCCCCUUGCGAGAGGUAUUCUUGGACGGAGGGAGUAGAAGAUUAGUUAUAGGAUUUUGUUUUAUUUCUGUGCAAUUUUCUUUUUAUUGGAUACUUGUAAAGACAUGGUAAUAUUCUUGCUAUAAUAAAAAUUAUGGUUCUAUUUC
Long non-coding RNA from Triticum urartu, 521 nucleotides. RefSeq lists it as uncharacterized. The record is from RefSeq and is a predicted model, not a curated record. NCBI's taxonomy places the organism in Eukaryota, Viridiplantae, Streptophyta, Magnoliopsida, Poales, Poaceae.